GUGGGGAAUAUUGCACAAUGGGCGCAAGCCUGAUGCAGCCAUGCCGCGUGUAUGAAGAAGGCCUUCGGGUUGUAAAGUACUUUCAGCGAGGAGGAAGGUGUUGAGGUUAAUAACCUCAGCAAUUGACGUUACUCGCAGAAGAAGCACCGGCUAACUCCGUGCCAGCAGCCGCGGUAAUACGGAGGGUGCAAGCGUUAAUCGGAAUUACUGGGCGUAAAGCGCACGCAGGCGGUCUGUCAAGUCGGAUGUGAAAUCCCCGGGCUCAACCUGGGAACUGCAUCCGAAACUGGCAGGCUAGAGUCUUGUAGAGGGGGGUAGAAUUCCAGGUGUAGCGGUGAAAUGCGUAGAGAUCUGGAGGAAUACCGGUGGCGAAGGCGGCCCCCUGGACAAAGACUGACGCUCAGGUGCGAAAGCGUGGGGAGCAAACAGGAUUAGAUACCCGAGUAGUCC
Molecule: ribosomal RNA, 450 nt
Filed under: uncultured bacterium
Lineage: Bacteria
Description: partial 16S ribosomal RNA
Rfam family: Bacterial small subunit ribosomal RNA
Source: RNAcentral